UACGUAGGGUCCGAGCGUUGUCCGGAAUUAUUGGGCGUAAAGAGCUCGUAGGUGGUUUGUCGCGUUGUCCGUGAAAACUCACAACUCAAUUGUGGGCGUGCGGGCGAUACGGGCAGACUGGAGUACUGCAGGGGAGACUGGAAUUCCUGGUGUAGCGGUGGAAUGCGCAGAUAUCAGGAGGAACACCGGUGGCGAAGGCGGGUCUCUGGACAGUUCCUGACGCUGAGGCACGAAGGCCAGGGGAGCAAACGGG
Molecule: ribosomal RNA, 253 nt
Filed under: uncultured bacterium
Lineage: Bacteria
Description: partial 16S ribosomal RNA
Rfam family: Bacterial small subunit ribosomal RNA
Source: RNAcentral